RNAcentral lists this long non-coding RNA (2300 nucleotides) under Ananas comosus (pineapple). RNAcentral describes it as "long non-coding RNA (ACOM_LNC044542)". Lineage: Eukaryota; Viridiplantae; Streptophyta; Magnoliopsida; Poales; Bromeliaceae. The record is from RNAcentral.
GGUGACUCCUGACACGCCCUUGAGGUUGAUGACAUUGGUAGUGCAACCUACAUUGUUGGAUAGAAUCAAAGAAAAGCAAGUUUUCGAUGUGGAACUGCAAAAGAUUAGAGGAAAAAUGGUUGAUGGUUGCACCGGCGGUUUCCUCGUGGACGACCAAGGGUUGAUGCGCUUUCGAGGACGGCUUUGUGUUCCGGCGGAUUCGGGAAUUAAAGAAGAUAUUCUUCAAGAAGCGUACAGGGCGCCCUAUGCUAUACAUCCGAGAGGCACCAAGAUGUACAAGAAUUUAAAGUUGAUUUAUUGGUGGCCCGGGAUGAAAAAGGAUGUUUGUGAGUUUGUUGCUAGAUGUCUAACUUGCUAACAAGUUAAAGCUGAGCACCGGUUACCCGCGGGAAAACUUCGGAGUUUGUCGAUUCCCGUAUGGAAGUGGGAGAAGAUCACCAUGGAUUUUGUGACUGGAUUGCCUCGUUCUCAGGCCGGGCAUGAUGCCAUUUGGGUGAUUGUGGACAGAUUGACGAAGUCGGCGCACUUCAUACCUAUUCAUACGACUUGGACUGGGGAGAAGCUCGCACAAGUGUACCUUGACGAGAUUGUGCGACUGCACGAAGUGCCUACUUCGAUUGUAUCUGAUCGAGACACUCGGUUUGUGUCUCAUUUUUGGAGGAGUCUGUAGGACGCCUUAGGCACCUGACUGGAUUUCAGCACCGCUUUCCACCCUCAGAGUGAUGGGCAGUUGGAGCGCACUAUUCAGACUUUAGAGGAUAUGCUCCGAGCAUGUGUGAUUGACUUCCAGGGAGGAUUGUCGCAGUAUCUACCUAUGGCGGAGUUUGCUUAUAACAACAGUUAUCAAACAAGCAUCAAGUGCCCUUCGAAGCACUUUAUGGACGGAAGUGUAGAUCGCCACUUCAUUGGAGUGAAGUUGGCGAGAGACUUACUUUAGGCCCUGAUGUGCUCUAGGAAGCUGAGGACAAGGUUCGCAUUGCUCGGGAGCGACUCUUGACGGCGCAGAGUAGACAGAGGAGCUACGCUGAUCGAUGGCGGUGAGACUUGGAGUUCCAAGUUGGAGACCAUAUUUUCUUGAAGGUCUCGCCGACUAGAGGAAUCAAGAGAUUCGGGAUUCGGGGAAAGUUGAGCCCCCGUUUCAUUGGACCGUAUGAGAUUUUGGAACGUGUAGGCCCGGUAGCGUAUCGACUUGCCCUACCGCCGAAUCUAUCGGGCGUGCACAACGUUUUUCAUGUAUCGGUCCUUCGGAGAUACAUUCAUGAUCCAGCUCACAUUUUGGAUGGUUUACCAGUGGAGCUGCAUGAGGAUUUGAGCAUCGAGGAGCAACCAGUGAAGAUUUUGGCUCGCGAGGUGAAGAAGCUGUGGAGUCGGGAUAUUCCGUAUGUGAAGGUCCUUUGGAGCAACCANNNNNNNNNNNNNNGAUUGACGACGGCCCCAAUCCUUACCUUGCCGACUGCUGGAGCAGGGUAUGUGAUUUAUAGUGAUGCUUCCUUUAAUGGAUUGGGCUGUGUUUUGAUGCAGGGCGGGAAAGUGAUCGCGUAUGCAUCUCGCCAACUGAAGGACUAUGAAAAGAAUUACCCCACCCACGACUUGGAGUUGGCGGCCGUAGUCUUUGCAUUGAAGCUAUGGCGCCACUACUUAUAUGGCGAGCGGUGCGAAGUAUAUACGGAUCACAAGAGCUUAAAGUAUCUAUUCACUCAAAAGGAGUUGAACUUGAGGCAGCGCAGAUGGUUGGAGCUACUCAAGGAUUAUGAUUUGACAAUAUUUUACCACCCGGGCAAGGCUAACGUGGUGGCGGAUGCGCUAAGUAGGAAAUUGACAGAAAACUUAGCGAUACACGUUGUUACUCAAGCGCAGUUGAUUGAGCAGAUGAAGUGGUUGGAGUUGGAGGUGGUCACUCCAGACACACCCCUAAGGUUGAUGGCUUUGGUAGUGCAACCUACAUUGUUGGAUAGAAUUAAAGAAAAGCAAGCUUCCGAUGUGGAGUUGCAAAGGAUUAAGGAUAAAAUGGUUAAUGGUUGCAUCGGCGGCUUCCUUGUGGAUGAUCAAGGAUUGCUGCAUUUUCACAGACGGCUAUGUGUACCGGCGGAUGCGGGAAUCAAAGAGCACAUUCUUCGUGAAGCACACCGAGCACCGUAUGCUAUACAUCCGGGUGGCACCAAGAUGUACAAGGACUUAAAGUUGCUCUAUUGGUGGCCCGGGAUGAAAAAGGAUGUUGGCGAGUUUGUAGCUCGUUGUUUAACUUGCCAACAAGUAAAGGCUGAGCAUCGAUUACCCGCGGAAAAACUUCAGAGUUUGCC